Molecule: ribosomal RNA, 331 nt
Filed under: uncultured Thauera sp.
Lineage: Bacteria; Pseudomonadati; Pseudomonadota; Betaproteobacteria; Rhodocyclales; Zoogloeaceae
Description: bacterial SSU rRNA
Rfam family: Bacterial small subunit ribosomal RNA
Source: RNAcentral
GUGUCGUCAGCUCGUGUCGUGAGAUGUUGGGUUAAGUCCCGCAACGAGCGCAACCCUCGCCUAGUUGUCACGCAUCUAGUUGGGCACUCUAAUGAGACUGCCGGUGACAAACCGGAGGAAGGUGGGGAUGACGUCAAGUCCUCAUGGCCCCUAUGGGUAGGGCUUCACACGUCAUACAAUGGUCGGUACAGAGGGUUGCCAAGCCGCGAGGUGGAGCCAAUCCCUUAAAGCCGAUCGUAGUCCGGAUCGUAGUCUGCAACUCGACUACGUGAAGUCGGAAUCGCUAGUAAUCGCAGAUCAGCAUGCUGCGGUGAAUACGUUCCCGGGUCUU